This 253-nucleotide ribosomal RNA is filed under the name uncultured bacterium. RNAcentral describes it as "partial 16S ribosomal RNA". It matches the Rfam family "Bacterial small subunit ribosomal RNA", at positions 524 to 776 of the family's 1533-position model. The record is from RNAcentral.
GACGUAGGAUGCGAGCGUUGUCCGGAUUUAUUGGGCGUAAAGAGUUCGUAGGUGGUUCGUUAAGUCUGAUGUUAAAGACUGGGGCUCAACCCUGGGAGUGCAUUGGAUACUGGCGGACUGGAGUGCAGUAGAGGCAAGCGGAAUUCCCAGUGUAGCGGUGAAAUGCGUAGAUAUUGGGAAGAACACCGGUGGCGCAAGCGGCUUGCUGGGCUGUAACUGACGCUGAGGAACGAAAGCGUGGGUAGCAAACAGG